GAACCGAAAGUGCUGUUAAGGGGUUUAACUUCCGGCUCAUGUAGACCCCGCAAAGGGUGUUGGUUCAUAUAAACAGCAGGGCGGUGGCCAUGGACGACAGAAUACGCCCAGGG
RNAcentral lists this ribosomal RNA (113 nucleotides) under Cryptomonas paramaecium. RNAcentral's name for it is "Cryptomonas paramecium partial Eukaryotic large subunit ribosomal RNA". It matches the Rfam family "Eukaryotic large subunit ribosomal RNA", at positions 1165 to 1277 of the family's 3401-position model. The record is from RNAcentral. Lineage: Eukaryota; Cryptophyceae; Cryptomonadales; Cryptomonadaceae.